RNAcentral lists this ribosomal RNA (426 nucleotides) under uncultured prokaryote. RNAcentral describes it as "bacterial SSU rRNA". It matches the Rfam family "Bacterial small subunit ribosomal RNA", at positions 355 to 774 of the family's 1533-position model. The record is from RNAcentral.
UGGGGAAUAUUGCACAAUGGGCGAAAGCCUGAUGGAGCGACGCCGCGUGGGGGAUGAAUGGCUUCGGCCCGUAAACCCCUGUCAUUUGCGAGCAAAGCCUGCCCGAUAACACCGGGUAGGUUGAUCGUAGCGAAAGAGGAAGGGACGGCUAACUCUGUGCCAGCAGCCGCGGUAAUACAGAGGUCCCGAGCGUUGUUCGGAUUCACUGGGCGUAAAGGGUGCGUAGGUGGCGAGGUAAGUUCGGUGUGAAAUCUCCGGGCCUAACCCGGAAAUGGCAUUGAAUACUCUCUUGCUCGAGGUUUGGAGGGGGGACUGGAAUUCUCGGUGUAGCAGUGAAAUGCGUAGAUAUCGAGAGGAACACCCGUGGCGAAGGCGAGUCCCUGGACAACACCUGACACUGAGGCACGAAAGCUAGGGGAGCAAACA